CGAACGGGUGAGUAACGCGUGAGGAACCUGCCUCAAAGAGGGGGACAACAGUUGGAAACGGCUGCUAAUACCGCAUAAGCCCACGGCUCGGCAUCGAGCAGAGGGAAAAGGAGCAAUCCGCUUUGAGAUGGCCUCGCGUCCGAUUAGCUAGUUGGUGAGGUAAUGGCCCACCAAGGCAACGACCGGUAGCCGGACUGAGAGGUUGAACGGCCACAUUGGGACUGAGACACGGCCCAG
RNAcentral lists this ribosomal RNA (237 nucleotides) under uncultured bacterium. RNAcentral describes it as "partial 16S ribosomal RNA". It matches the Rfam family "Bacterial small subunit ribosomal RNA", at positions 99 to 334 of the family's 1533-position model. The record is from RNAcentral.